RNAcentral lists this ribosomal RNA (404 nucleotides) under Actinomycetes bacterium. RNAcentral describes it as "Actinobacteria bacterium partial 16S ribosomal RNA". It matches the Rfam family "Bacterial small subunit ribosomal RNA", at positions 355 to 776 of the family's 1533-position model. The record is from RNAcentral. Lineage: Bacteria; Bacillati; Actinomycetota; Actinomycetes.
UGGGGAAUAUUGGACAAUGGGCGCAAGCCUGAUCCAGCCAUGCCGCGUGAGUGAUGAAGGCCCUAGGGUUGUAAAGCUCUUUCACCGGUGAAGAUAAUGACGGUAACCGGAGAAGAAGCCCCGGCUAACUUCGUGCCAGCAGCCGCGGUAAUACGAAGGGGGCUAGCGUUGUUCGGAUUUACUGGGCGUAAAGCGCACGUCGGCGGACUUUUAAGUCUGGGGUGAAAUCCCGGGGCUCAACCCCGGAACUGCCUUUGAUACUGGAAGGCUAGAGUAUGGUAGAGGUGAGUGGAAUUCCGGGUGUAGAGGUGAAAUGCGUAGAUAUUCGGAGGAACACCAGUGGCGAAGGCGGCUCGCUGGACCAUUACUGACGCUGAGGUGCGAAAGCGUGGGGAGCAAACAGG